This 468-nucleotide ribosomal RNA is filed under the name uncultured bacterium. Its description in RNAcentral is "partial 16S ribosomal RNA". It matches the Rfam family "Bacterial small subunit ribosomal RNA", at positions 28 to 507 of the family's 1533-position model. The record is from RNAcentral.
GACGAACGCUGGCGGCGUGCUUAACACAUGCGAGUCGAACGGAAAGGCCCUGCUUUUGUGGGGUGCUCGAGUGGCGAACGGGUGAGUAACACGUGAGUCACCUGCCCUUGACUUUGGGAUAACUUCAGGAAACUGGGGCUAAUACCGGAUAGGAGCUCCUGCUGCAUGGUGGGGGUUGGAAAGUUUCGGCGGUUGGGGAUGGACUCGCGGCUUAUCAGCUUGUUGGUGGGGUAGUGGCUUACCAAGGCUGUGACGGGUAGCCGGCCUGAGAGGGUGACCGGCCACAUUGGGACUGAGAUACGGCCCAGACUCCUACGGGAGGCAGCAGUGGGGAAUAGUGCACAAUGGGCGGAAGCCUGAUGCAGCAACGCCGCGUGCGGGAUGACGGCCUUCGGGUUGUAAACCGCUUUCGCCUGUGACGAAGCGUGAGUGACGGUAAUGGGUAAAGAAGCACCGGCUAACUACGUG